RNAcentral lists this non-coding RNA (23 nucleotides) under Drosophila melanogaster (fruit fly). Lineage: Eukaryota; Metazoa; Arthropoda; Insecta; Diptera; Drosophilidae. RNAcentral also lists the same sequence under 1 other name. The record is from RNAcentral.
AAUCUUUCGCCUUUUACUAAAGA